RNAcentral lists this long non-coding RNA (37302 nucleotides) under Gossypium barbadense (sea-island cotton). Its description in RNAcentral is "long non-coding RNA (GBAR_LNC014683)". The record is from RNAcentral. Lineage: Eukaryota; Viridiplantae; Streptophyta; Magnoliopsida; Malvales; Malvaceae.
CCUCUAGAGUGUAAGAGCUUAGCAAGUAGCAUCAUGGGGUUAACAUGACCUUAUGCUGGAAAUGGGACGAUUACAAUAUGGGGUUUACUGGUUUCAAGUGAACCCAUCUUUGCAAAGCAGUAACAAAGUUGUAAAAUUAAGGUGUUUGCAGAGAAGCUUUCCUUGCUUUCUAGCUUCUCUAAAGCUUGACGAGUAGCAACAUGCAAUAUAUAGGAAAAGGGUGGCGUGAAAGAGUUACGCUACGUCCUUUGUAUUCCUUUUUCAAUAGAGAAACUGUGGGAAAAUUAAUUAUUUUUAAAUUUUUUUAUUUUAUUUUCAAUCUAAACCAUACAUUUAUAAAGAAUUUUAUAUUUUAUUCUCAAAUCAAUAUAUAUCUAUUGGAGAAUUUUAUUUAUAUUUCUUAUUAAAUGAGAUAUUUAAAUUGAUUCGUUUGACUCGAGUUCUUUUUAAAGAUAUUAGCUUUAAUGUCACAUGCGUUGCAUGUAAUUUUACUCAUUUAAUAUUUAAAUGAUUUUUAAAAAUAUUGUACUUAAUUACAACAAUUAGCAUAAAAUAAUAUUUCUUAUUUGAAUUUUUGAAUAUAACUAAAAUAUAUUAACUUAUCAAUUCAAAUAUAUAAUAGAAAAUUUCAAGUAAUAAUUAAAGCAUUUUAAAGUGGUAAUUGACAUAGUUAACUCUAUUAUUGAUUAGGUGAUAAUUAAUGUGCUUAGAAUUCUAUUCAAAUAAUAACUCUAUUUUACAUCAAGAAAAUUAGCACAAUUUAAAAAAAAAUAAUAUUAGCAUAAUUAUAAUUAUCUGUAACGCCCCAAAAUUUUAUUUUUGGGUAUUGUGAAUAUGAGACCCAAAUAUCUGCUUGCUUCAGUAGUUAAGUGUUUUAAGUGUGUGUAUGAGGUCCCAAUUUCAAGCCAUGCCUUUGGCGAAAUUUUGAAAAUAUUUCUGAUUAAAGCCUUAUCCUUGUUCAGUUGGCUUAAGUUUACGAGUUGGAGUGUUGGAGGUUUUGUGUUCGAAUCUUUGCGUGAGUAAGAAUGUUAAUCUUUUUACUCUGUUUCCUGGAAGAGUUGUGUAGAAGAUGGAUUCUGAGUAGUGGAUUGUUAGUGGGUAGUUAAUUGAGAGAAGAUAUGGGAGUUAUCAGGAUUAUUUUUGUUUUUUUAUCAUUAUUAUUUUAUUCUUUUCAAAAUUCAUUUCUCUUUCUAUCUCUCCAAAAUUUUGACGUCGACUUUCUUCUUCACUUUUCUUCUUCAAUUUUUCGCGGCUUCCUGUUGGAUUUUUCGCAGUCAAUCAUUGCUCUUGCGUUCGUGGCCCUUUUCAUCUGCUAAGUGAUCUCUUUUGGCCUUCUUCCUUUGAUUUGGGGUCUAGCAACGUCAGUUUAUUGUAGUUAAUCGAUGUAUCCUGUGUUUAUGAGAAGAUCAAGGAGCUGGGGUUUCCCAGUCGGCGCUUUAAACGUGCGGAUGAACGUUGCUCGACCGAAGGUAAGAUUUUAGUCGAUUUAAGUGGGUUAUCUAUCACUUUUGGUUCGGUUUAAUGUCGUUCUAAGUGUUUAAUUCUGGGUUCGUUUGGUCAAUUUUAGGUAUUGGAGUUCUCGGGAGUGUUUUUGCAACGAAACAAAACCAGGUGUGUGCCUGAAACACAAAAAUAAGGGAUUCGACGAAAAGCUGAAAUUUCUUGCUGUUUGGACAGCAGCAGUAGGCUAAAUUUGAAAAAUCACCAUAAAUUAUGGAAAUCGAAUUAGAGGAUGAAAAAGUAUGAGAUUAAAUAUAUUUGAGUCUAGUUUCUCAUAGAAGAAACUAAGUAAGCAAAAGAAUUUCAUAUUAUGAGAUAUUUGAAUUUUAGUGAGACAGGAUCAGAAUAAUUUCAGAAUCCCCUAUCCUGACUUUGGAAAAUUAUUAAAAAUUUUAUAAAAAUAAUUAUGGGUUAUAAUUUAUAUGCUUAAAAUCCUGAAUAAGUUUAUUUUCAAGAGAAAUAAACAAGAACAUCAUCUGAAUUCUGUAUGAGAAGAUAAUUAAUUUUUAGUGCAAAAAGGUUGAAACUAUUAGACAGCAGAAUAGGAGAAACUUUAAGGUCGCCAAACUAUUAAACUGUUUGACUGAUAAGGUCGCCAAAUUUGACUGUGAACCUAUAGUAGGGUCGGUAAGCUUACCUAGACCCCUAAUUGACUGAAAUGACUGUAUGACUGAUAUGAUUAAGCCUGAUGAUGUCUCACUGAUUUGAUACUGUAUGCCCUGUUUACAUGCAUGAUAUUAUGUUAUAGCAUGUCAUAUUUGUAUAUUGCAUUGCAUUGGGCUGGGGGAUUAUAAUGUUCAGAGGAAGUGUAUUGAAAAGCCUUGAGCCUAAUUUAUUAGCAGCUCAGCUGCAAACUACUGUCUAAUGUCGCAUUCGGUACUACUUAGAGUGUAGGGAUGAGUGGGUUGAUUAUAUCCCCAUAUGGAGUGCAGGGUUGGUGGAUGGAUAGGAUUUUUGUGACUGCAUAUCUAUUACUGCUACUGAUACUGUGAUGGGCUAAAGCCCUACUACAUGACUGUUUUUGUACUGAGAUGGGAUAAGGCCCAAACAGGACUGGUACUGAUACUGAAAAGGGUUUAAGCCCAAACUGUGAUUAUCUAUUUACUGUUUAUUCAUUUGUAUGGGGAUUACACACUGAGUUUACGUAAACUCACCCCUUCUGUUUAAUCUGUACAAGUAAUCCCCAGAUUUAGGCGGAUCGGUGCGGCGGAGGACUCAAUGGUGGCCACACGACUUCUAUUACACUGUUUAUUACCUAUUUAUGAUUUUACUUUUUUUUGGGAGUAUUUUGCUGUAAUUAUGGCCUUUAUGGAUUUUAGUUUAAAUUUAGUUUUUAUACGGUUUUAUGAUUUAAAUCUGCUAGUGUUAGGUAAAACUUGGGUUUUCAAAUGAAAUUAAUGUUUUAUCAAAAAUACCAUGAAUAUGCAAAUUGUUUAAAAGCUUCCGCAAUAAGAAAAUGUUUUGAAAUUGAAUAACGAUUUGUAAAUGAAUAAUGUUUUGGAAACGAACGACACGAUUUGAAAUUAACAUAAGAUAAUGAAAAAAAAGGUUAAAUAGAAAAGGGUAUUUAGCGACGACAUAUUUUUCGAAAAGUACUACCUUGUGACAUCGUCAGAUUCGGCCAUAACGUUUAGGCUGGGUUUGGGGUAUUACAUUAUCACAACUUUUUGCGCUAUAUUUUAUGCUUAGAGUUAUUUUCAAGUAACCAUUUUUAUUAAAUUAUAAUUAUUUUUAAAUGUAUAAUUAUCAAAAUUUAUAUUUUAUUUCAACUUUUUUGACGAAUAAUUCUAAAUUAAAUAUUAUUUGUUUUUUAAAUGUGAAUUUAAUAAUAUGAUGAAAAAAAAAAGAUAUUCAUCAAUUCAACAGUUUUUCCAAACUCAUACUUUUAUAUAUAUUAUAUAUAUGAUAGAUGUAAUCUACCUGCUAUAAUAAAAAAAUAAAUAUUUUUAAAAUUAUCGGAGUUGAUUUAAAUUAUUAUUUUAUUAUUGGUUUACUGCAAGUGGAGUAAUAGUACAUUAGUCUUAGACCAUGUUUGGUUCGAUGGAAUUGCUAUUCCAUUCCGUCCCUAUUCUGUGCACAACAGUAAUUCACUAAUUUGGUUCAUUGUUUAAGUGAUUCCGCAGAAUUCUAUUGCACCUUUAUUCCCUCAACUCUUGUAAUAGAAUUUCAGGGGUUGGGGGGUCUGAAUUGCUAUUCAAAAUCACCCGUAAUAACAUUUUUCCUUUUUUGGACCAAAAUAGCCUACCUCUCUUAUUCAUCGUUUUCACUUUCACUUCAGCAGAUUUCUUCCUUGACAUUUAUCCCCAAAGUGAACCCUAGAAAUUAGCUCCUUAAUCGACGACAAAUCAAGCAUUCAUUCGCCAUCUUCAUCUUCAUCUUCCUUCUAGUUGAACCUCCUUAUUUACAGUAAGUGCCUUUGAUUCCUAUUUUUUUCUCUGAUUUUUUAGUUAAAGUUCUUUCACUUCUUUCAACUGCUCUUUUCCCCUUUCAUAUUUGGAUAUAAACUAGCAAAGCAGAUUGUAAAACCAGCAAAGCAAAUUAUUCUUGGAUGAUUCAGUGAUAAGCAACUAUUUUGGUUCACCAAAUCCUCCAUCCGACAGAAUUUCAUUCAUCUCCCAUUCACAAAAUUAGUCGAUUGGUUGAUCCGAUUAUUUAGGGAAAUUUAGGGUUAGAAAGCUAAACUUGUUUUUUUUCGAAUUGUUGGGCAUUUCUGUUUAUUGUAAGGGAUUUCAGGUUGCUUGUCUCAAUAGUAAGGGAUUUCAAUUUCAGGUUGGAAUUUGUUGUUUGUGGAAAAUGGGUUGGUGGAGUUUUGGAUUUUGAGCUUUGAAUCAGUUAAGCAAGAAAAAGAAAAAGAAAACAGAGGCAGGGGAGAUAAGGAAAUCAUUUUACCAGUAAAUUUGCCAUUGCUUUGCUUUGCUUUUUUUUUUUAAAUUUUGAUUCUGAAAUGUUGGGCUAGUUACAGUGUAAGCUGAACAAAGCAUUUCAGUUGAGAAAAUAAUUGAAGUUAAAUUAAAGAUAAAUUCGACAUAUGUGCUAAUAUGCUUUGUUUAUUUUUGAAUCUUAAUGCUUAGAAAAUCAUAAGUUGCAUAGAGAUUUAGCUACUGCAUCGGGUUUUAGAUAAAGUUUUACCAGCAUCAUUAGGUUUUCUUUUAAUCUUAUCAAUUAAACAUUUGAUUGAUAAUUUUAGUUUUUUGGGAUUUUAAUUAAUUGGAUAUUGGGUUCGAACGUUUGAUUAGUUUAAUGUAGCUGUAUAAUAUGUGGAAAUAUUUGGUAACAGCUAUCCUGAAAUUUGAUGUAUCAAUCCUUUGUGAUGCUGAAUGGCCUAUGUUGGGAAUUAGGGUUUUCAGUCCUCUUUAGAAAUUGGAUAGAUUUCUUACCUUGCUGCUUGUCCGUAGUUCCACCAAAAAAAUAUGACCCUAUGUUAGGCCUUUUAUGGAGUUUAGAUGGAAGUUUUAGAUGUUGCAAAAUUAGAUUGCUUUUAGUGCAAUGGUUCUUUUUACUGGAUUUUGUUUAAUGAUGCUUUAUUUGAUACAGUUUAAUGUGCUUUUUAGAUCAUAUGUUUCAGAUGAGAUGGAUCAGAGUAUUUAGAAGAAUACGGUGAGAACAGGGUAAUUUUCAAACUGUGUUCUUAACCUUAAAUGCUACUGUUUCUUCCUCUUCUUUCUUUCUUUUUCUUAAAUUUUGUUAGUAUAAUGUUAUAAGUUGAAAGAAGUAAGAGCAUUUAUUUCUUUGUAUUUUCUGCCCUCUUGGAAUGUACCGUAUACAUUAUGUUGUUGUGGUUAACUUUAACAUUUUAUUGGAGUGUUUUGAAAACUAGGAGGAUAGAGGAUUGGUGGGAAGAAUGAUAGAAAAUGAGAGUACUUUUUCAUUCAUAUGCUCUCUAAGAAUGAUUUAGAAUUGGAAUGCAAGAAAAUGAUAUACCUAUUUAGUUUUUGUCUGUAAUCUCGCCAUCCUUUUUGUUUUGCUGGAUUAAAUAUUUAAGGUUUUAAGCUGUAAUUAGAAGAUGUCAUAGUUAUAAUUAAGAUGUCCUACUGCUGUAUCGUGAUUAAAAUGUAAGUAUUCAUGCUGUAAGUAUUUAUGUUGUCUUAAAACAUUAUCUGAAGUGGAUUAAUUGUUGUAAUUUAAACGGCCUUAAUAAUGAAAUUGUGGUAUCUUAAAAUGAUAAAUUGAGAGGAGUUAUAGUUGUAAUUUAUAGUGCUUGGGUGUCGUGGUUAAAAUGUAUAACUCUGGGAUUGAUAUUGAUGAUGUGCUGGUAAUGAAUAAAUCGAGUUUAAUUUGCCAAAUGACAUGUUAUUUUAGAAAUACAAAUUGAGUGUUGCUAAUGGUGAGUUUUCUUUAAACUCCUUUAUUAUUUCCAUGCUCAAAAUUCUUAUCAAUUUUACAUGGAUGAUUCGGCGAUAGUUAAAUAGGGAAAAAAAUUGUUCUUUACAAAUUUCAUGGUUGCUACUGUUUUGUAUUGGUUAAACUUGUUUAUUUCAGAUUUAGUUGUUGUCCAAUUAGUGCAAAAAUUUCCUGUAGCUCAAGCAAAGUAGAUGCUGUUGCUGCUCGGUUUUGUACUUUUAAAGCCCUAUUUAAGUACUGCAAUUUGAAGUGUUUAGUAGUUGGAAAUUGAGAUGUUUUAUUGCUGUAAUUGAGGUGCAUAAAUGUUGUUAAUAGAGAUGUUAAAGUGCUGCAAAUUGAAGUGUUUAAAUGCUGUAAAUUGAAGUGUUAAAAUGUAGCAAAUUGAAGUAUUUAAAUGCUGUGAAUUGAAGUGUUAAAGUGCUGCAAAUUGAAGUGUUUAAAUGUUGUAAAUUGAAGUGUUUUAAGUACUGAGGUGUAUAAAUGUUGUUAAUUGGGAUGUUAAAGUGUUGUAAGUUGAGGUGUUUAAAUGCUGUAAAUUGAAGUGUUUAAUUGUUGUAAAUUGAGGUGCUGAAAUGAUGUAAAUCGAAGUGUUUAAGUGCUGCAAAUAAUAUAUGAUUUAAUAACAUUCUUAAUAUAAUUAUCUCAACAAACGAAACAAAAAAAAAAGAGAAAGUAAAAUGCUACAAACAAAUCAUGUUAUGGUAAGAAUGUAACGUAUAUGGAGUUUUAGAUUUUAUUUAAAUAAAAAUAAUAACCGAAUAUUUUAAAAGACAUAAUUUUUAAGAUAUUUAACACACUAUAUACUUAUAAUCGAAUUGAGUUAAUACAAAAUAAAAAAAUUAAGACCUUAUUUUCUUUUCUCAUAAAAAUUAUUAAAUUCAUACUAUUUUUCUUUCCUUUUACUAAUUUUAACCAUUCAAACAAAAUAAUAUAUAUUUUUCUAUUCACAAUUAUGAAUUCAAAUAAAACAUUAGUUAAUUACAAUGUGAGAUGAAUACAAACUUUUUAAAAGGUAAAUUGAUAAAACACAUUCUUUUCUUUUUUUUUUCUUUUUUGAAUCGAAUACAAACUUUUUAAAAGGUAAAUUGAUAAAGGUAAAUAAAACGUCAGUCAUCAAUUAAUCAAAUCCACAAAAACACAUUCUUUUCUUUUCUUUCUUUUUUUUCUUUUUUGGGUGAUUGAUAAAGAAAUAAAUUUCAAGCUUUUUACUUGCAAAGAUAAUUUUAAUUUCUAUUUUGUGCUUCGUAAAGAUUCUUAAUAUGUAUUAUUCAUUUUUCUUUGAUAGUGUGUUAUUGUUUCCUCUUCUUCUAUGGCUUGUUUGAUUGCUUCCUCCACGUCACACCGUUGAGCGUCUUGUAUUCACUGAAUCACUAUAAGUUCUUUCGCUAUUAAAUUCUUUGAUUUUAUUUUACUGUUAUUGAAAUUAGUAUUGGAGAAAUGUGACCCUUUUACUACGAUUUGAAGAUAUGUAACACUUUAAUAUCUCGCAGUAAUGACUCGUCUACCUUUAAUAGUACAAAGUGUGAGGCGUAAAAGAAUUGGUCUUGCAUUGUGUAACACCCCAAACCCGGCCUAGACGUUAUGGCCGUAUCUGGUGUGUCACAUUGAAGUGUCUCUCAAAAUUUAGACUUGUUGAUAAAACUCGUUUCUUAAGUUUGGAAACCUCUUUAGUAAUGUUUAACGGAACAAUUAACCAAAUGUUUGCCUUAUUAACUACUAUUAUUAUAUCAAGUUGAUUUAAAACGUGGAAGCAUUUGAAAACUCUAACGUUUAAAGUUUGUGUCUUUGAAAACAGUAAUUAUUUUGAAAAUUCGUUUUCACUUAACUAGCAGUAUAAAAUAUGUAAGCAAAAGCCCAAUUAAAAUUUAAAACCCAAAUUAAAGGCUUUAUUACAAAACAAAACCCAACUUAUAAUUUAAAGUAAAAUAAAAGCAAGUGUGAAUAGCAGCAGUUGUGUGGCCACCUCCGAGCCCCUCGCGGCACCGGAUCGCCUAAGACUGAGGAUUACCUAUACAGUUAAAAGGAGAGGGUGAGUUUACGAAACUUAGUGUGAAAUCCCCUAUCAGUCAAUCAAUAUACAACGUGCAGUAGCAGUUUGGGCCAAAGCCCUAUACAACAACAGCGUGGGCCUUAGCCCAAUACAGUAACAGUGUGGCCCUUAGCCCAAUACAAUAACAGUAUAAUGCAGUAAUGCAACCCAUCCCAAUCCAGCCAACACACCACUCCGUACCACCAACACACCAUGUGGGGAUAAAAUCGACCCACCCAGCCAACACACCAAUAUCCCAGCAAAGCUGCCAGUAAUAGUGAUGCAGCAAAGCUACCAGUAACAGUAACGCAGCAAAGUUGCCAGUAACAGUAUAUGUGGCAAAGCCACCAGUACAAUAUACUUCCCCUAUAUCAGAAACCCAACCCGUGUAGUAUGUCAUGUCAUAAAUCGCACGUGUAUGCAGUAUGUCAGACUCAGUAACAGUCAUAUAUAUAUUAUAGAGUAAAUCGGUCCUACACAUACUUCAACUCCUAAGGGUAUAACAGUCAUUUUACCUUUUGGGGGUAUUGCAGUCAUUUUACCUUGCUAGGGUAUUUCAGUCAUUCUACCCUGCGAGGGUAUUUCAGUUAAUUUACCUUUUGGAGGUAUUUUGGUCAUUUUACCCUUUGAGGGUAUUUCAGUCAUUUUACCCUUUAAGGAUAUUUCGGUCAUUUUACCCUUCGAGGGUAUUUCGGUUAUUUUACCAUUCGGGGGUAUUUCGAUCAUUUUACCUUUUGAGGGUAUUUCGGUUAUUUUAGGCCCAUUACGGCUUAAGCCCAUGAAAAUGAUUAUAGAGGCCUCUAUAAUCUAACACCGUGUUUCGUGGGCUCGAUUUACCACACGAGCGUUCGCAUGCCCAUAUGGUCUCAGCCCCGUCUUUUUUGGAUUUUCGGCUUUUACCGAUUUAUAGUUGAGAGAGGGUGUAAUUACACACCUGUUUGUGAAAAUGUACUAAGAUCCACGAAUACCUAAAAUCUGCAUUCAUACAAGUUUUCCAUUAGUUACAAUCAAUAGGGUUAGUCUCAUUCUUUUGCAUCUUUAACCAAAAAAACAAACUAAUACUUGCCUCAACUGACAAAACUGGCUUAGCCCACCUAAACCAUUGACGAAAGUUGACUGCAAUCUUCUUGACGGAUAUCUGCAUCGCAAAUGGAUUCAUUAAACAAGAUUGUAAAAUCAUGUGGUUGAAAUCCGCACAUGAUAAUUUACAGAACCACAAGAACAUUCGGCCUACACCUAGAAGGAAGGCUAGUCUACCUAUUUACCUUGACCGAGUGAUGAGAGAGAGGUUUCGACAACUAUAAAACACUUAAAACUCCUUCACUCUUCGAGGGAAAUGAGCCAUCAGAGAACAGUUGUCAAGUCGAAAUAGAAUUGAAUAGAUGAAGAGGGAGAGAAAGACAAUAUUCGGCCAAGAGAGAAGAAGAAAGAAAGGCAAUAUUCGGCCACAAAGAAAAUAGGAAAGAACCAAAGGCUAUUCGGCCAAAACAAAAAGGGCAUAAAGGGAAAAGCAAAAAAAAAACAAAACGAACAAACCCGAGAGGUACUUUGAAGCCUUUGUAAGAUUCAACACCAAAAGAAAAAGGAGAAAACAAAAAAUGCUCACCCACCGAGGCAGACAGAGAGAAAAAUAAAAUAAAAUAAAAACCAAAAACUCCUCAAAAGAUAAAAAUCACCCCCAAAACUCCCCCUAGCCGAAUUCUCAAGGUUGAAUAAUCCCCAAACGGCACAACACUCCCCCUUAUCAAAUUCUUUGAUUUUAUCCUAAAAACUCUCCACUUAUCCUUCCUUGAUUCACUCCACCUAUUUCUCCUAUACUCCCUCUAUGACCAGUUCAAACUAAAUUUUGCAGUGUUCUAGUCCAACUCCACCACCUACCCAGCUCAAGCAGCAAAAUAAAUACUCCCAUGCGUAACCCAUGACUUGAACCUUUGACCUCGUAGUUACACCACAAGCCACCUUGCCAUUAGACCACAAGCUAUUUUUGUGUCAUAAAACCAACACUAAUAUUUAUAAGGCCUAUAUGCCUAUGUCCAGAUUCAUUUAAGAGCAAAACUAAAAAUUAUGCAAAAGCCAAGACUUGAACCCAAGCUCCUCAAACACCCCCAUACACACCCAAAUCACUUAACCAUUAAAGCAAACAAGCAAUUUGUGUCAAAACAUGCAAAAAUUAAAGACUUAAAUUUUGGGGCAUUACACAUUGACAAUAUGGUUGCAAAUGUGUACAGUUGCGAGUUGGUUCUUAGUUACAUUCGGUGCCAUCCAUAGCUUACAUACUUAUAGACCAAGGAUUAGAUCCUAUAUUUUAGAUUUUUAUACAAAACGAUAUUAUGUGAAAAAACUUGUAUAUUCUAGUGACGAGACCUGUAUUGAACAAGUUAGGAUGAAUAGAAUUACCUUUUUUAAACUAUGUGAGAUGUUACAAACUUUAGGGAAAUUGAAGUCGUCAAGGAAUAUGUUUGUUGAUGAGCAAGUGGCAAUGUUUUUACAUAUCAUUUCUUAUCACCUUAAAAAUCGAGUUAUCAAGCAUCACUUUAAUAGGUCUAGGGAAAUCGUUAGCAGAUCAUUUCACAAUGUUUUAAAUGCUGUCAUACGCUUACAAGAUGUGUUAUUUAAAAAGGUAGAGUCAAUUACAGCUAAUUCUACAGACCCAAGGUGGAAACGGUUCAAGGUAUUGGAGUGAGUUCUAUAUAUAGCUUGUACAUAAUUUAGUUGAUUUAAAUUUAAAUAUAGUAUCCUAACUCAAGGUUUUAUACAUGUGAUGUAGAAUUGCUUAGGUGCUUUAGAUGGAACCCACAUCAAGAUUAGGGUUCCAACAGUUGAUAAACCUAGAUAUCGAAUGCGAAAAGGUGACAUAGCAACAAAUAUGUUAGGUGUUUGUACACCUGAUAUGCAUUUUGUUUAUGUUCUUCCUGGUUGGGAAGGUUCUGUUGCUGAUGAACGGGUCUUUCCAGAUGCCAUUAGUAGGAGAAAUGGACUAAAAGUUCUUUAUGGUAAAGUGCAAAAUUAGAGGACUUUGAAUUAAUCUUUAAGAUCAUACUUUUUUGGGAAAUUAGCCAUGACAAAUAGUUUUUUUAUAGGUUGUUAUUAUCUAGUUGAUGCUGAAUACACAAAUUGUGAGAGAUUUCUUGCACAUUUUAGAGGAAAAAGAUAUCAUUUGAAUGAGUGGCGUCAGGGUUACUAGCCAAGUACUUUGGAAGAAUUUUUCAAUAUGAAACAUGCUUCAGCACAUAAUGUUUUUGAAAGAUGCUUUGGGUUAUUAAAACUUAUAUGGGGAAUACUUAAGAGUCCAUCAUUCUAUCCUGUGAGGGUGCACAAUAGAAUCAUUAUUGCAUGUUGUUUGCUCCAUAAUUUUAUUCAAACCUAUAUGAGUCUUGAUCCUAUUGAAGCGGAGUUGGGAGAAGGAUUACCUAGUAAUGUGAUAGAUGACGAUGAACCGAAUAUCGUAAGUAUUCAUCCAUCGGAUGCAUUGGCUACUUGGAGGAUGGAACUAGCCAACCAAAUGUUCGGUGAAUGGCAAGCAUCUAGAAAUUAGUUAGGUUUAGGGUAAAAAUAGUAAACGUUAAUUUGUUUAUGUUAUUUCAUUUAUCUAGUUUAUGAAACUUUGGUGGUGUUUGAAUUGUUUUUUGUAUUGUACUAGACUUGUUGAAUUAUAAUUUAUUUUCUUUUGAUUCAUCAUGUGCUAUAAUUUUGUAAAGUGUUGACCUUUUGAUUCAUAAUAUUAACCUUAAUUUUAAUUUGUUUUUUUUCUUAAGAUAGUUAUGUUAGGUUUUUCACAAUCAAGUGUUUCUUCCCAAAAUUCUCGAGGAACCAAAAGGAAAUGGGUUCCAGAAGAAGAUGCUACGUUGGUUGCUUGUAUGGUCGACUUGCACAAUGUUAGAACCUUUAAUACUGAUACGAGAUUCAAAUUCGGUUAUUUAAAUGAGUUGGAAAAAUGUCAGAAAAUUUUUUACCCAAUGCCAUGUUGAAGGCUAAACCUAAUCUUGAAUCGAGGAUUAGGACAUUGAAAAGGGAUUGGUCAAUCAUUUAUAACAUACUUAGUGGAAAAAACAAUAGCGGUUUUGGUUGGGAUGAACAUAGGCUACUUGUUGUUGAUGACGAUGCGGUGUGGAAAUUAUAUAUAAAUGUAAGAAUUAGUUCAAGUCUUUAUUAUCUUAUUUUGACCAAACUUAUAUCUAAUAUGAAUUCCUCAUUUUUAUAGAGCUGUAAAGAAGCCAAUCAAUUCAAACAUCGUAGUUUCCCUUAUUAUGACCAACUUACUGCCAUCUACGUAAAAGAUGGAGCCACUGGGAAAGAUGCUCAAACAGCCGCUGAUAUUAUUGAAGAAAUAGAUGUUGAGGAUGUAGCUACUACAAAUACUCAUGAAGAAAGAAACAAUUUCUAUGGAUGCGAAGCUGAUAUUUCUUUGGAUGACAUGGAUCUUUCAGCUACACAAUCGCAACCAGCUAGAAGCCAAGGUGAUUCCACAUUUUCAAAGAAGAAGAAAAAGAUUUAUGAUGCAAGUGAUCAUAUUUCUUCUACUUCAUUUAAUGAUGCUGCCAUUUUAUUGGCGAAAAACAUACGGGCCGUUGGUGUUGAAAUCAGUGGGAGUAUUGCCUCCGAAGUGCUAAUUCAACAAAAGUCAAAAAUGACCAUUCAAGAAAGAGCUCUAAAAUUGUAUCCAACAUUAUGUGAAGUAAAAGGUUUAAUUAAGAAUGAGCACUAUCGCUCAUUGAGCAAAAUUCUAGAUUAUCCAACGCAAAUGCUCAUUUUCUUUAGUUUACCUUCUUCUAUGCAAUUGGAAUGAGUCAGAAGAUUUCUUGCUGACCAUUAAAAAUCAUGGUUGUGUUGAUGAUAUUUUGGUAACUUUUUGUGUUUGUAAUAUUUGGAUGGUAUAAUGACAUGAUAGAAUGUCAUUACAAUGUUGUAACUUUUUGAUGUUGUAAAAUUUUAUAACAUAUGGAUUAUGACAUAUAAACUAAUAAAAUCAUGUAACUUCUUGUUAAUAUAUGAAUAUUAUGUUUGGAUGUGAAAUAUAAUUCUCAAGUUAUUUAUUACUUCUAAUAUUUUGUUUUUUUAUUGUAGAAUAAUUAAAUUAUUUGUUUCACUAAUGAUAUUUUAGCACAUUAAAUAUGUAUUGCAGUUUAAAAAUAAUAAAGUAGAUUAUAUAUUAUUUUUAUAGUAUUAUAUAUUAUGAUUUUAGUAAAUUCAUAAUAAUAAUUAUUAUAUUCAUAAUUUUAUUAAAUUAUAUUUAAUAAUUAUUAUGUUAAAAUAUGGUUAAAUUUUUUAUUAUUUUUAUUAAAUUAUUUUUAAUAAUAAUCUUAUUAAAAUUUAAUAACAAUAACAAUAAUCAUCUACCUAAAAAAAUCUACUAAGGGUAUUCUAGUCAUUUUAGUUUUUUUUCCUUAUGCUAUUACAACAUCAUUACAUUCAACCACACACAAGAAUACUAUUACAGUUAUAUUCCAUUCCAUUCAACCAAACAAUUGAAUUACUAAUUACAGCUUUAUUCCAUUACAGCUCUAUUCAAUAACAGCUCUAUUCCAUUACAGUGAACCAAACGUACCCUUAGAGUUUGAAUCUGUUGGACAACCUCUAUCCCUUUUUAAAAAAAAAGAAGGAUAAUAUUUUAAUUGUUUUGAUAAAGUGCGGAAUUUUUUACAUAAUCUCUAUUCAACCUUUAAACCGGAAUAAAAAUGUGUUGAAUUUCACGUCAUUAUUAAUUACUUCAAUAAUGAUAGUAUCAAUUGAAUUAAGACUAAAUCGGUAAAAUUUUUAAAUUUUUAAAUGAUAUAUUUAAUGGGUGAUUCCCAAAGUUAACAUAUAGUAGCUUUUGAAAAAAUAUACAACUUGCUUAAUGAUUUAGUAUUCAUACCCAUCCCUCCUGGAAGAAAGUUUUAUUAAUGUAAAUAGAGAACAUAUUUGGUACACUAUCAUUGGAGCUUCUAGACUCUACUACAAGAUCAAGGAGUCGAUAAGUGUUUUAUAGGAGUAUUGUAAAAUAUUAAAAAAAAGACAUGACAAAUUUUUAAGGUUGUUUGUGGAAUAAAAAAACACUACUAUUAUACCAAAUACUAGUACAUGUAAAUAAAUAAUUAUCACAAAAUUUUUUAUCUUAUACAAUAAUAUAUAAUUCCACAUUAGUUAGUAUUAAUUAAAUAAUUAUGGGGGAGGGGAUUAAUGAAAAACAAGGUUUUACCCUUUUAAGUAGGUACUAAGAUUAUUUCUUCUUUUUUAUGGCAAAAAGUUAAAAAAAGAUAAUUUCUUUUUGGUACUAAGAUUAUUUGUUUAGUGAUUUCUUUAUUUGAGAAUGACAACAUUGACUUACCUUCAAUGUAAUAUAAGUCAUGGAUUCAUUUGCUAAAUGGUAGAAAUAUUCAUUCCAAUAAAAAAAUUAAUAUUGAAAAUGAUAAAUACACAAUAGUUACUUAUAUUUAAUAGAAAAUUUAUUGAAUUACUUUUUUUUUAAAGAUUAUACCAUCUUUUAAGGCAGUAGUGGAGCUAAGGGGUUGGCAGGCACCUACCCGUUACAAUGGGAAAAUUUUCAUUUAUGCUCUUUAUAAUUUAUAAAAUUUUAAAUUAGUAAUGAUAAAAUUACACUUUGACCCCCUUAAAAAUGAUAAAAAUUUGAUUAAUUCUUUAAAAAUUAUAAAGAUAUAGACUAUUAAAAUGGUGAAAUUACAUUUUUACUAUCAUAAAAUAUACAAUUUAAUUCCACCCUGAAAAACUUUUCUAAUUCCGCCACUGUUUUAUAUUUAAAUUAAUUACGCUUGAACUAGAAUGUCACAUUAUUCUCUAUAUAUUUUUUUUUACUUUUAGAUUUAUAAUAUUUUAUAUUUAAUAGUAUAUUUUAUUUCAAAUGUUUCAUAUUUAUACUCAAAGUCAUUUAAAUAUUGGGUUUGUUUCAUAAAAUGUUUAAGAAAAAAAUAAAAAUAUAAAACAUAAAACUUUUAUAAUUAAAAAUUUAUAUUUAUCAAAUUUAUAUUUAUAUUUAAUAAUUAAUUUUAAGUAAUAUAUCAAAUAAAUUUUAUAAUUUAAAUUCAAUAUAUGUAAUUUUUUAACACUUAAUUUUUAAUUUAUUUUUUAUCCAUAUUUUUCUUCCCUUAUUGUGGGAGAUUCGGCCCCACCUUUGCAUAUUCAAAUAUUAUUGUUAUCAUAUAAUAGUUUAUAAUGAAACUGUUGUUGUUAUAAUAAAUUUAUGUAUUUAUAUUCCAACUCCAUUAUAUAUUUGAAGUAGAAAGGGGCAUCCAUAAGCAUGUGAGGCAGAGCAAAUAAAACCUUUCUGCCAAUUUGUUUGGCUUCCAACAUGACACGUGCCAAUUAGGAAAUACGUACGUAAACGAAAGAUGGAAAACAACAGGUUGCGACUCUUUACCAUUAGAUCAGACCAUUACCACUAUGUUACGUCUUUUUAAUUAAUCAAUUUGAAUAUAUAUCAUAAUUAUUCUCAAGUUAAGAUGGAUAAAUGAUGGACAAAAUCGGCUGUCAGCGUGUUGUAAUGUUCUAUUAAUGUUAAGGCUAAAGUCUUUGUCGUAUUGAUGGAGUUUGUCUUUCAUUGUCGACAAUGGAUGUUUUUUUUCUUUUCCCCAAAUUGUAUGAUCCCAUUUAUGGAAUAAAUUAAUGAAAUUUUCCUUUCAAAUAAUAAUAAUUAAAUGUAGAGGUAGUUGCAUCGGGUGUAACACCCCAAACCCGGCCUGGACGUUAUGAUCGAAUCUGGCGAUGUCACAUGAUAGUGUGUUUGAAAACCGAUGCUCGUGUUGAAAAAACCGUAACUUUGCUUAAAACAUUUUCCGUUUAGAUCUCGUCAUUAUCUUUUAUUAAUCCUAAAAUAGUGAUUUUUAUUCAGUCGUUAGUUUGCAAAAUAUUAUAUGUUGCAGAAGCUUUUUAAAGUAGUUUGUGUCCUUGCGGGUAUUUUGCUAAAACACGUGCAUUUCUUUUAAAAAUCCGUGUUUUAUCUACCUCUAGCAGAUAUAAAACAUAAAGCAAUAUAAAAUCCAAAAUUUAAGCAAAAACUCAUAGCGGCUAUUAUUACAGAAAAAUACCCCAAAUAAAGCUUUAAAAUAAUAAACCUAAUUAAAUACGAAAUAGUAAAAAGGAGUCGUGUGGCCACAGCUGAGUCCUCCGCCGCUCUGAUCCGCCUAAGUCUGGGGAUUACCUGAACAGAUGAAUCAGAAGGGUGAGUUUACGAAAACUCAGUGUGUAAUCCCCACAUAAACAAGCAGACAGCAUGCAAUCAUAGUCUGGGCUUAAGCCCAUUUCAGUAACAGUUUCAGUUUCAGUUAGGGCUUUAGCCCAUUUCAAUACAGAAGCAGUUGUGCAUUUGGGCCUUGGCCCAUUACAGUAUCAAUACUCAGUACAGUGACAGAUAUGCAAUGUCAAAUCCUACCCAACUAGCCUCUACACUCCAGCUCUGUCCAACCCUACACUACAUGUGGGGAUAUAAUCAACCCACCCAUCCCUACACUCUAAAAAGUACCAAAUGCGGCACUGGACAGUAGUUUACAGUUGAGCUGCCAGUAAUUUAGGCUCGAGGCCUUUCAGUACACUUCUUCCGAACAAUAUAACCCAACCCCUAUGCAAUGCAAUAUAUAUAUGACAUGCUAAAACAUAAUAUUGUGCAUAAAAUCAGGGCAUACAGUAUCAAACCAGUGGGACAUCAUCAUGCUUAAUAACAUGCAUAAUCGUAUCAGUCAUACAGUUAUUUCAGUCAAUUAGGGGUCUAGGUAAGCUUAUCGACCCUACAGUAGGUCCACAGUCGACUUGGGCGAUCCAUGUAAACUUAGUAGUCAAACAGUGAAAAUGGGUCGACGGCCCAUGUUGCAUGCCCAUGUGGCCUACACGGCCUAAAAUGGCCUUGGCCGUGUGGAUCUCACGGCUUGGCCCAAUAUUCCUACACGCCCGUGUAGUUCACCUGUGUGGGGCCCACGCACUCGUGUGGUCCACACGACCUAAUUCAGCUCGGCCCAUGAAUCGUACAUGGCCAACCUCGUCGAUCACACGCCCAUAUUCAAUCACACGACCUACCACACAGGCGGCCGCACGCCCGUGUGGCGUCGACAAUCAUAUUUUUUGGCUUUUCACCGAUUUCUGUUUUUAGAGUUGCGUUUACACACCUGGUUUUUAUUCGCUGAGAAGGAAAACACUGAGCCUUUGAAACCUACAUUUGACCAAACAAUCACCAAUUAAUCACUUAUACCCUUACUCUAUCAAAAACACACGAGUUGACCAAGUGUUAACUAGCAACAAUGUUACAUUCAAUCGAGUAAAGAGGGUUCGCCCACUUAAUCACCAAUUAACGAUCCUCCACCCCUCGAAUAACUCCUAGGCACCAACCAAAAUCAGAUAAGCAUUGAUUCAUUAGGAAAUAAGAUAACAAUAUACUAUCUACCUUUACCAACAACGUAAGAAGAGUACCAAUUACAAAGUGCAAGAACUUAUUAGCAAGUAGAGAUUGAUAACCAGAAAGACAGCACAGGAAAAACAGUCAGCUGCAAGGGAAAGAAAAGAAUCGAAAAAAAGAAAUGAAAGGAAAGUAUGAAAAGAGGGGGAAGACUCGGCCAAAGGAAGAGGGGAAUGUUUGCUUACCUUUUUCCGAAUAGUAAAUAUUUUGGAAAGCCAAAAGAAAGAGACCACAAGAACACUAAUUCGGCAGAAAGCAAUAAGAACAGAAUCAACACAAUGAGGGUAGAAAAGGAAAUUGACAAGGAAGAGAAACUAGCAGAAGUUUCAGCAGAGAACUUUCAGAAACCAAAAAAAAAAUUCUGGUAAUGGGGAAACAAAACAACAGAGGGAAAAUUUUAAAAAAUGAAAGAGUGAGGGGAAACUCGAACUUGCAACUACAGUUUGAAUGCUCUCAAACUCCUCACUCCUUAAUUUUCUCACCAUAUCUCUUAAUCCUCUCCCUCAACCACCUAAUUCAAAUUCCACUCAAACUCUUCAGUAUUUCGGCUAAACUAGAACACCCACAUGGGACAAGCAGCAAAAUAAAACACUCCCUUGCACACACCAAGACUCAAACUCAAGACCACCAACACUUUGCCACUCCAUUUAUCCACUAGACCAGCAAGCCCAUUCUAACAUUUUUCACCAACAUUUAUUUAUAAGCCUACUGAUUAGAGAUAAGAGUUUAUUCAUUUAAGAACAAAAAUUUACUCAAACUAAGGGUUGAACUUAGGACCUCCCAAACACUCCCAGAACACUUAACCACUGAAGCAGACAAAUAUUUGUGUCACAAACAUACAAAAAUAAAUAUAUAAAGGAUUUUUGGGGCGUUACAUCGGGUAUCCCCGAACUAUGAUUCUCAUUUUAAUUUGGUUUCCAAACUUCAAAAGCGCUUUUAAUUACAUAUUCAAACUAUCAAUGUUAUAUCAAUCAUGCCUUUCUAUUAUUAAAAUCAUUAAUUUAAUCAGUAAAGGACACUUCAAAUCUUAUGUGACAUAAUUUAAAAUGGAAGUUUUAAAGAAAAGUAAAACAUUACCACAUAAAUUUUUAAAGUUAAAACUAAAAAUAAAGUAAAACCGGAAAAAAGAGAUAGUGAACAAUAAAGCUUUUGUAAAAGUUUCAAAAACCUCAAAAUCAAGAUUUUUACAACAUCCAUUUUUACAAUAUUCAUUUUUAUUUAAAAAUUUCAAUUUAAUCUAUGCCAUAUAAUAUUUGGUAAUUGAUUUAAUGGUUAAAUUAACAAUUUUAGUAAAAGGACCUUAUUGAUAUAACCACAAUAGUUUGAAGAUGUAUUGAGUGUUUUAAAGUUUGGGGACCAAUUUAGAAUAAAGGUUCUAGGUUGAGAAUAUAUGGUAAAAUUAACUCUUAAAUGUAUUAACCUUCUAAAACAAUUGAAGUAUAUUUAAUAUUAUUGAUUUUAUGUGUUUAUUUAUUUAAUUUAUUUUUAUUCAAGAUCUAAACUAUUUUUUAUUUUAGUUUCGUAGAUAUUACAUAUGGGGUAUUAUUAUUAGUUUUAAAACUUACGUUUAAUAUUCUUAAUAUGAUGUAAUUACUUAUUUAAAUUUUAUUUUACUUUCAAUUUAAACUAAUUUUUAUUUUAACUUUGUACAUGUUGCUAUUAGUUUCAAACCUUACGUUUCAUUAUUUAUUAUACAUUAUUUUUUUAACACAUAAGCGUGUUCUAAAUGCACAGUUUCUAUGCACAUACAUGUUCUAGGAUAUUAUAAUCGUAUUUAAAUAUAUCGUGUCUUAUUUAUUAUGUUUUAAAGUUUAUUAAAUGUAUUUUAUUUAUAAUUUUAAAUUAUGUUUAAAGUUGGGUGAAAGUACCUUUAAAGUCCCUAUAUUAUAGAGUUUGGAUCAAAUUAAGCCCUCUAUGAUUAAAUGGAUCAAUUCAAUUAUUCUACGAUUAAAAAGAAUCAAAUAAGGCCAAAUUGGAACAAAUUUAUAAUUUAUUUUUUAAAAAAUGACAUAAAAAUAAAUUUUUUUCAUUUAUAGUUCAUCUUGAAACAAAAAAAAUUCAUCUAUAAAAUCAUAAGAAGCUUUCAAAAUAUAACUUUGUUAAAUAGUAAAUGACAUCUUUUAAACAAUAAAUGUUAAUUAUGUUCCAAUUUGGCCUUAUUCAUUUUUUUUAAUAGUACAAAGACUAAAUUGAUCCAUUUAGUAGUAGAGGGACUAAUUCGAUACGACCCCUAUGAUAGAGGGACCUGCUAGAUACAUUUAGCUUUAAAGUUGUGACUUAGCGAGACUAUUUCGAAAACUAGUAUCCUUUAAAAUAAUGUUUCUAUUCCACGAUCUAACUUGAUUAAUUAGUUAACAUGACCCGUCAACUGAAAAGGGUUGGCAGCCCCUGCCCCUUACAGUGGGAAAAUUUUCAUUUAGGCUCUUUAUAAUUUAUAAAAUUUUAAAUUAGUAAUGAUAAAAUUACACUUAAGCCCCCUUAAAAAUGAUAAAAAAUUGAUUAAUUCUUUAAAAAUUAUAAAGAUAUAGAUUAUUAAAAUGGUGAAAUUACAUUUUUACUAUCAUAAAAUAUACAAUUUAAUUCCGCCCCGAAAAACUUUUCUAUUUCCACCACUGCUUUAUAUUUAAAUUAAUUACUUCCUUUUAAGAGCUUGAACUAGAAUGUCACAUUAUUCUCAAUAUAAUUUUUUUUUUUACUUUUAGAUUUAUAAUAUUUUAUAUUUAAUAGUAUAUUUUAUUUCAAAUGUUUCAUAUUUACACUUCAAAUGUUUCAUAUUCAUACACUUCUCGAUAUAAUCUAUGCCAGCCCAUGAACAACAAUCAACGCUUUGAGGAUUCCAAUUAUCAACCUUAGGGUAAGCACACAAACCAGCAACAAAUGCUUGCUUCUCGAUGAUGCAGCAAAGCAAGACGCUCAUCGCUGUGACAAAGUACUGCAGGCUGCUUGGACAAGAAAGAAAAGGCAGUAAAUUGGAAAGAGUAAUAUUGAAAAGAAAGCAUGCAAAUGCAAAAGAGUAAUAUAUAGAUGUUAAAGUGUAAUAAACGACAAUAGUAGACAAAAUUAGAGUAAAAUUCUUUUUUACUUUGGGGUGCCGGCACCAGAAAUUAAAAAAUAUAUUUUUUUAUUGUAAAAGGGUUGUUGACUACUUAAGUGCCGACAUUAAAAAAUAAAAAAAAUAAAAAAAGGGUGUCGAUCAUCUGCUACACGGUAACACGACACCAAAAAAUAAUUUUUUUUUAAAACCUAGUAUUACACGUAUUAUAUAAAAUACUUAUGAAAAAAAUACACAUGAGUGUCGACCAUUGCACUGUCGACACCCAAAAAAAUAUUUUUUUUAAUCACAAUUCCAAUCAUCAUGUUGUUAUUUGGGGAUUGGGGACAUGGGUGUCGGCCAUGAGGGUGCCAUAACCCUAGGACAUUUUUCCUUUCAAGUUAUUCCCGUAAAUGUUUUUGAACCAAAGUAUUUUUAUAAAUGUUUAAUUGUUUUGGGUUAUUUUAUCAAAAUAACCCAUUUUUGUGGAACCAUGUAAGAAACACAGAAGGCAAAAAAGGAACAACAAAAUCCCAUUGCACAUAGAAUAUUUUACCAAACUAACCCAAAACAAUUAAAUAUUUAUAAAAAUAGCUCAAGUUCUAAAAUAUUUACAAGACUAACUUGAAAGCAACAUUGUCUGGGGGUUAUGGCACCCUCAUGGCCGGCACCAAUGUCAUCAAUCCUUAAAAUUUUUUUUAAGGUGUCGACUGACACCUAUAUGUAUUUUUUCACCCGUAUUUUGUACAAUACAUAUAAUAUCCUUAUUUUUAAAUUUUUUGGUGCCGGCACUAUGUUGGUCAGUACUCGUUUUUAGUAAAAAACUGUGAUAAGCUUGCAAGAGAGAUUUUAUUAGAUAAAGCAAAGAUUGAUCGAAUGAAAAGGACUAAAAUACCAAAAGACGCAAUUUUUAGAAAAAAAAUUACAUAAAUAGGCUGAAAUUUUGAAAAUUUACAGGAAUAGGCCGAUUUUUGUAAAAUGCUUGCGUUUUCAGGGGAAACCCAAAAAAAUGCUUCCAAAAGCGUCUUUAGUAUAUUGACAGAAAAACGCUUCCAGCUGAAAGAUUUUUGCCACAUCAACACUAAAAGUGGAAGCACCAAUUUUUUUAUUUAUUUUGGUGCCACCUAUUAAUGUGAAAAUAAAACUUACAAAACAUGCAUUUAUAUAGACCCAAAGUCUCAUUUCCCCUUUUUUUAAAGCAAUGUGAGAUAUGAGACAUGUGUAUAUAUAGACUCAUGAAUAGAUUUGCAGCUUAUUCCUAAAUUGUGAUAUAUAUAGAUAAUGUGUAUAUAUAGAAUCAUGAAUAGGGGUCUUCCACCACUUUGCCUAAAUUAUUAUUUUAUUUAGAUAAAAACUCAAAUUAUUUAAUUUAAAUCUUUUUUUUUCACCAAUUUUUGAGUAUCACAGUUCCAAAUUGUUUAAAAUAAUAUGUAUGGACAAAAGCAAAGAUAGUAGGAGGGCCAUACUCUUCCAAAUUCUUUAGGAUUUGGAGUAGCAUGGCCCUCCUACUAUCUUUGUUUUUGUCCAUACAUAUUAUUAUUAUUUUGUUAAAAUAGAUUGAAGUCUCUGUAUUCUUGAUAAGUUUGGAAUUUAGGCCUUUUAUUUUUAUUUCAAAUAAUUUAGUUUCUCUAUUUUUUUAAUUUAAAAAUACAAGUCUAAUUGUUAACAUUGUUAAAAUCAUUUUGUUAAAUUUAUUGGUGUGACUACGUGACACCUUAUACCCAACCCAGUUGUUGGAUCCGAAUAUAAAAUGCCACAUUCCAUUGUCGAAGCAACUUACUUUUCUAUUUUACUCUUUUUUUUAAAAGGAAACGUAGUGGUAAAAUUAUUUUACAAAAAUUUCGGCAACAUUUCUACCUAUUUUGCAUAAAACCCAUUGCAAAAUUUAGAUUUCACAAAAUAUCCACAUUCAAAUAAUCUCCCAAAUCAAUUCGCAAAACUUUGAUUUCUCAAAACAUAUCCAUAAACUAGAUUUCUACGCUUUACUGUUUCAUCAAAACAUUAGUUAUAAAGUACUAGCAAAGAAAAUAUAAUAAAAAUAUUUAAAUUUUGUUUACGACAUAAUAUUAUAUAUAUACAAGCCUAGGUACAUGCCAUUUACAUCAAUUAUAAAGUAAACUUUUCACCAACAUUAUUUGAGCCGAGCUUCGGUUCUUCGGAUGCUGCUGGAACGACCUAACGAAUCUAACUACCUGCGCAUGGAAAAAUAGACAAAUUGUACGCUGAGCAAUUUUUAUGCUCAGUGAUGCUAAUAUCAUAUAAAUUAUUACAUAAGUAUUGAACAUAAAUUAAUUGAUAGAAAUAAAUUAAAACAUAAUUAUAAAUAUCAUUAAAACAUAAUUAUAAAUAUCAUUAAUAACAUCACAAUAAAAGAAAAUUUUAAUAUUAAUAAACUUUAAUAUUACGAUAUUGACAAAUCGAAUAAAGAAAAUAAGUUUUUUUAAUCUAAUUCAAAAUCGUGUAAUUAAUUUAAUUCGCACAAUAUGGAAAUUUAAAUAAAUUCAACUUGUGUUUUUACUUUUCUUUCAAUUUAGACACUGUCCUAAAGUUUAGUGACAAGUGAUAAUAGUAACAUGCUUUAAUCUCGUUCUUAAUGCAUUUUUGGAUGAUUAUUUGAUGUAAAAUAGUGAAUAUUAUGUUCCUAAUCCUUUAAAUUCAUGUUUCUAUACUUAGGAGAGCAUUUGGGAGCAAAAGGAGUGAAAAACGAACGAAAAUCGAAAAAUUGGAGCAAGGUAAAUGAGCCACACCGGCUGGGCACACGGUUGUGUGAGCCAUAUGGGCAUGUGCUAAAUUGUGUGGAAAUUGUGAACUGCACUCCGGAAACGUAAAAAAACAUAAUUUUAAGGUUUUUGGGCAUUCUAAGACCUAUAUAUGACAAAGAUAAGAAGAGAUGAGGGAACUAUCAUAGAAUACUGAAGAAAACAACUCGAAAAAUGCCAUUGAAGCUGACUCUGAAGCAGAUUUUCAUCAAGAUUGAAGAUCUCCUUUUGAUUUCUUUGAAGUUUAUUAUAAGUUUCUUUGUUUCUUGUGGUUAUAUUGCUUUUGGGAUGUUUUUAUUUGCUAUCAUAAACUAAUUUUCCAAAUACCUAGGGAGAUGAACUCUAGGAUGGAUUAUAUUAUUUGAUAUCUAUUUUUUACGCAAGAAAUACUUGAAUCUUGUUCUCAUUUAUGUGUGCUUAAUUCUUGGUUUAAUAUUUCUAGACUAUUAAUCUAUGUUUGAUGUGCUUAAAUCAGAGGGCAAAUAGACCUUAUUUAAGAGUAGAUCUACCGUAAUUGAGUGGAGUUGCAUGUAAUCCUAGAAAUAGGACGACAUAAAUCUACCGGAUUAGAGUAAAAUCUAAUAGGGGGUCCUUAAAUCAAGUUAAUGCGAUAAUAUGAGUUUUAAUUAGAAAAAAAAUUCAAUUAAUCAACCUAGAGUCAGUUGCUCUUACUCUCGAAAGAGAUAUUAGCAUAAUUUAGGGAUUUCUACGGAUCAAUAUACUAAGUGAAGAAAUUGUUUAAUUCAGAUUGAUAAUGACAGAUGAAAUCUAGGUGAAUUCUUUCGUCGGUAUUGUUUCGCUUUUUGGUUGUUAAUCGUUUGUUUUCUUGAUUCGUUUUUUGUCGUGUUCUUUAGUUAGUUAAUUUAGUUAAUUUUAGUUUUAAUCAAUCUCUCCAAUUUGUCAGUUAAAUAAUAGUAAGAAAGUAAUCACUAGUAAUUUUAGUCCUUUUGGGAAUAAUAUCUUUUCUCAUUGUAGCUAUAAUAUUAAUUGAUAGGUGCACUUACCGUUGCCCGGAAGUGAAAUAUUAGGAAAACUUUAUUUCUAUUAAUUUAGCUUUUUUUAUUUUUAUUUUAAUAUUUUUGUUUUUAACUUAAUUUUGAUAUUAUAUUUUUUUGUUUGUUUGAUUUUAACAGGUUCUUUUGGUUUAUGACUAGAGGAAACCCGUUGGAUCCAUUACUUUUUGACAAUGAGACUGAAAAGACUGUUUGUAGAAAUCGUAAAGAGGUUAGGGAAGUAGGUAAAAUCAACAGAAUUUAGUAGACGAUCAAGAGGAAAAUAAUAUUACUGUGGAGAUGGGUGAUAAUCACAAUAAUCAGCUACCUCCUGCAAAAUCAUGAUCCUCGUACUAGGUAUUGUUACGCUAAACUUACUCUGAUUGGGGCUGAUUUGAGUAUUGUGAGACCCACCAUUACUGCAAACAAUUUGAGCUGAAGGCAAACACAAUUCAGAUGGUACAAUAGUAUGUUUAGUUUGACAGUUUGCAAGAUGAAGAUCUGAAUACUCAUUUGACUAACUUUCUAGAGAUUUGUGACACUUUCAAAUUAAUGGUGCUAAUAAUGACGCCAUACACUCACGGUUCUUCCCAUUCUCUUUGAGGAGCAAGACAAAAUGGUGGCUGAAUUCAUUGCCACGAGGUUCUAUCACUACCUAGGCGCAAAUGACUGAAAAAAUUCAGUUGAAGUAUUUUCCAACAGUUAAAACAACUAAGUUGAGGAAUGAUAUCUUUUCUUUUGCUCAAAUUGAUUUGGUGACAUUAUAUGAUGCAUGAGAGAGAUUUAAGGAUCUGUUGAGAAGGUGCCUCAUCAGGGGUUACCUUUAUGGUUGCAAGUUCAAACCUUUUACAACGGUUUGCAUCCCUCGACUAGACAACUAAUUGAUGCAGUAGUUGGUGGAACACUGAAUAAUAAAACACCCGAGACAGCUCAAGAGUUUAUUGAGGAGAUGAAAUUGAAUAACAAUCAAUGACAAGUAAUGAAAACAAAAUUGAUUAAAGCAGCUGGUAUUUUUAACAUCGAGAGAUUAAUAAGUUAUUCACAGAAUCUUUUCAUGAAUGAUUAAGCCAAACGAUAUGCAAUUGAAGCUUUCAUUGACAAAUAAAAAUGUUUUCUCAUAACAUUUAUAAUUACUCAAUUUACUUUCGAUUCAAUAGAUUUGGAGUGGGAAGGACGUCAAUGACGAAAUUAAAUGGCUUUCCCAAGGUUCGAAUAGAGUAGUAAAAAGAUAUAGUGCCUUCCUUAUUAAUGGAUUCAGAUUUUAUACAAAAUAUCGCAAGAGAUUGAGGAGAACUCAAAAUUGUGGAAUAGUUGUUAAUUCUUCAAUUACAAGUUAUGCUAGUGCUUGGGACAGUUGUUGAGAGAAAUGUGGAGUAUUAUGGAUUUCUUACUGACAUUUUUGAGCUGGAUUACCAUGGCAAAUGGAAAGUUGUCUUAUUUCGGUGUGAUUGGGCUUAUGUUAAGACUACUCGCGGAAUUAAAACAGAUCAAUUUGGUUUUACAAUGGUGAACUAAUCUCGAUUGAUUCACACUGGACAACAAUUAAUAGAUAAACCGUAUGUAUUUUUUUCUUAAGUGAAACAAGUUCUUUACAAGAAAGAUUCAACUGAUGAGGGUUGGUACGUUGUACUCCGUAACACCCCUAGAGACUUGUUUGACAUGGGCAAUGGAAAUAGAGAUGACAUCGAUGAAAGAUCAGAAACUUUGCCUUUUCCAGAACAAAACUUAAAUGAAAAUAUCCCUAGUACUAGUACACAAUUUCAAUGGGUUCGCCAGGAUGUUGAUGAAGAUAUUUACGAAUUAUGAUGUAGUAAGAUUUUAUGAUUUUUUAAUUAUAUGUAAUAUCAUAAUUUAAAUCUUGGUCUUGUUAAACAUUUCAACUAUUUUAUAUGUACUAUUAUUGUUGUAAUUAGUUACUAAAAUUUCAACUAUUUUAUGUGUAUUGCAGAUAAAAUGCCUAGAAGAAGAUUGCGAGAUCUAAGUAUUGUUCAAAAUACUCCAAAUUCGGAAGAAACAAAUAGUGAACAACAGACUGCUAUUGGAUCUUCGAAUGUUUCGAAUACACCUGACGAACCUGCAGAAAUUCAAAGUAAUGUUAAAUUUAAUUUACAUGCGUGUUGACUUUUAUUAUUAAUUUCUUUUUCAAAUUCUUAUAUUAUAAUAUACCAUUUUUCAGCUGAAAGUGGUGGGAUGCGCAAAGGUUGAAGACGUACACUACUUAAAGAUUUAUACGAGUUAAAUCUUGUCGAGCGUGUCAAAAUAUCUAGAAAUAAUCUUGGUCAGCUUGUUGGAUCAGAAGCUUAAAUUUGAGCAGGAUAUUUGGGCAUUAUAGCAUGAAAUGCCAAUAUGUUGCCUACCAACUACGAGUCAUGGCAUCAAAUGCCUGAUAGUAACAAAAACGAAGCUCUCGAUAAUAUUAAGGUAACAAAACGUGAAUGUAAUUUAUAAUACUUUGGUUUAAGUUUUAUUUAUAUUUACUUUCUAAACUUGUGUUUUUUGUAGGAGAGGUUUGCUUCAGAUAAUUAUGUCAAGAAGGCCUUGGGAAAAAAUGGAGACCAUAAAAGUACUUUAAAGAAAGAAUUUUUUUUUAAAAUAUAAGCCUCGAAGAGAAAUUGCGAAAUGUCCCGCCGGGAAUGUUGAGGUACCAAUGGGAAGAUGUGGUUAGAUUUUGGAAUUCAAAGAAAUGAGAGGUAUUACGUACUUCCAAACUCUUAUAAUUAUUUCAGUUUAUAGUACUUACUAUAUACGUAAUAAUAAUUUCAUAAUGUAGGAUCGUGAACGAGUUGGAACAAGCAGGAGGCAAAAACAGAAAUUCACUCACACAGCUGGGUCAAAAAAUUAUGCUUGUGUAGCUGAGGCCGAGGUAUUUUGAAUUUAUUAAUUGUUUCAAAUAUUUAUUACUUUCUAUUAAAUAAUAUUUUUACUACUAUAUUAUAGGAACUAUCAUCUGGUCAAAAAGUUGGACGCCUUCAGCUUUUUGACAUUACACAUAGGAAGAAAGAUGGAUCUCCUAUGACUUCUGAAGCUGCAGAAAUUAUGGUAUGUUUACUUAAUAAAAUUUGAAUUAUUUUAAAUAUUUAUAUGGUUUAAUUAUAAAGGUUUAAUUUGUCGUUUGUAAUGCAAAUAAUGUUAAGUUAUGUUGCAUUUGUUUUUAUUAUAUAUUUUGUUUCUAGCUCUUUGAUUGAUUUAUUAGGAGAAACUAAAGGAUAAAAAGGCGGAGUAUGAAGCGAUUGCUCCGAGUGAUAGUUCUGUUAAUGUCGAAGACAUUGAUAACUGGAUUAUUACUGAAGUUUUGGGUCCUGAAAGGUAUGGUCGGGUUCGAUUUCAAGGAUAUUUUGUUAACCCAACCGGAUAUUUUGGAUCCAACUCGCAAUAAUACAUGCCUUCAGAGAGUCAGCCUCAAGCUAAAGUUCAGAGGUUAAGAGACCAGAUGGCUCAGAUGCAAGAGAGAACAGUUGAGCAAAUUGCUCAACUUAAACCGGAGGCAACAUCGAGAGAAGCUGUGGUUCAAAAAAAAUAUGAAAAACUCCAGCUACAAAGUAAAGCGGAGGCAGUAGCGAGGGAAGCAGAGCAAAGCAGAAAGUACGACGCACUCCAGCUACAGCUUCAGAAUAUGAUGAAGAUGUUUCAGCAGUUGCAAAAUCCUCCAUCUUAGACAUUUGUUUUCUUAUUGUAAGAAUAUUUUUAACAUUGUAACUUUUAACAUUAUUGUAAGAAUAUUUUGAAUUAUACUUCAGUUAUCAAUUUAUAUCAUAUAUAUUUCGUUGAAUUUGAAGUAUCAUUUAAAUUUACUGUUUUUGGUUGGAUUUCAUGCUACAGGAAGGGUUGUAUAUGGAUGAAAAUUGAAUGUUACAAAUCUGCCAAAGUUAGUGGCAUUUUUUCAUAAACGCCGCUAAAGAACGAUGCUUUUAGCGACGUUUGUGAAAAAAAACCCGCUAAAAGUCAUUCUCUAUAGAGACGUUUGUGAUAAAAGCGCCACUAAAGGUUAUGCUCUUUAGCGGUGUUUGUGAUAAAAGCGCCGCUAAAGGUUAUUUUCUUUAACGACGUUUGUGAUAAAAGCGCCACUAAAGGUCAAGUUCUUUAGCAGUGUUUGUGAUAAAAGCGCCGUUAAAGGUCAUGUUCUUUAGCCGCUUAAAAGCGCUGCUAUAGGCCUAAAAAAAGCCGCUAAAAGCCUGUUUUGCUGCAGUGAAUUAGUUACAGAGUUUUUGAGCGAGAAAAAGAAAAAGAAAAAGAAAACAAAGAUAGGGGAGAUGAGGAAAUUGUUCAAGACGCUCUUGAAGCUAAUAUUCAUUUUGCCAAUACCCUGUAAUUUUUUUCUUUUUUUUUCCUUCCUUGAUUUUUUAUAGAUGUAUAUCAUGUGUUUUUUUCUUUUUGUAGAUAGAAAGGGAUUUCAAUUUUAGGUUGGGAUUUAUCUGCAAAGACUACAAUAUUUUUCUAUUCGCUAAUUGCUCUAUCAAUGCAUCAAUGAUUUCCCUUUGGAUUUUCUCUUAAUUUGGGGUUUCUUUUGUUUUGGUAAGUUUAAAAUUUCAUUUUAUCUUUUUUUUUUGUUUGUUUUGGGUUUGAAGUUAAAUUUUAACAAUAAUAAAGUUCAUUACUUUACUGCUUGAAUUUACUUGUUUGCAUAUUUGUUAGAAUGAGAACCGGAUCCAAAGGUCAAAUGUGUUCUGGUUGAGGGAAGCUCAUCGCGUGCGUUUUGUGUAAGUACUUGAAGAAAUAUUAAGCCUUCUUCUUUAGUUGGGAAAAGAUACUUGUACAUAUCAUUUCAUGUUUGUAAUGAAAAAUGUGUAUAGAUAUCAUUCUAGGCUAUGUUUUGUUUUACUAGUGUUAAGGGAGUUUUGGGGGCUAACUAUUCACGAGUAUCACACGAAUGGAUAUUAAAUGUGUUGUUGCUAAAAUCCAGAAGGACAGAAACACUCCUCUUGUGCCAAAGGUUUUUCUUUUUCCUUUCCAUUUGUAAAUGCAUACUAUCUAAACUGCAAACUUCUUGUGCUUAGUUGUUUUUCUCUGUUAUAAAUAUCACAAACAUUUGCAAUUUGCUAAAAUUAAGCAAACAUCUGUAAAUGCAUACUAUCUGAUCAAGCAUUUUCACUUUUACCAUCUUUUAUGGAUGCGUUCCCCAUUGAUUUUUGCUUCUUGAUAUGCCAGUAAUAUUUAUUAUAAUUCAAACCCAGUAUGUAGAAAAUAAAAAAAUAUAAACAAUAAUUUCUAGUGAGAUGUGUAAAUGCAUAAUAUGUAUGUAUUAUUAGUAAUUACCUUGCCUAAAAUGAAAUUUAGUAGCAAGUUUGUGUUACAUACACUUUAAGUAUUGUAUUGAAGGGUAAAGGAUGCUGAGGCAUGCAUAUCUUAUUGACUAUUAAGUUCAGCUCAUCAUAUGCUGUGGAAAUAUAUUAAUAUGUUUCUACUGUGGAAAUAUAACUCAUGGUUCAUGCUCAAUAUCAUUUCAGGUUCAAGAUAGUUUCUUUGAAGCAGUUGUUGCUGCUGCACCUUGCCUCUUCUUUUUUUGAUGAAUUUGAUUCCAUUACCCUUAAAAGAUGACAUGACAACAUUGGAGUAACUGUUCGAGUUGUCAACCAAGUUAGUAUCUUUUUGCUUGCUGCAUUUUAUUAUUUUGCCUUAACUUUUGAUGUCUUUCUUAUUGUUAUUUUGCUUUCAAACAAUUCCUAACUAAAUUAGAUGGUUUUGAAGUUUUGACUAAUGUAUUUGUGUUUGUUGCAACAAGGUUAGUUCUCAUGGAAUCCUAUUGUAUUAUUUUGAUAGUAUCUAUCCUUAAUCUACGAUUAAUCCCCACAAUGUUGAGUUUGACUCGUUAUUAUCUUCACGUGAUCGAUUUUGACAUGAGAUGCAUACCCAAAUAAGAUAGUUUUUCAAGUAGCACAAAAUUUUUAAAAGAGAAUACAUUUCUUGAUUUCAAGGUUUUCCAUAAAUAUAUGAGUUUCUUAUUUCAUGGUUUUUCCUUAUGAGUUGCAUAGCUAUAAUAAAAAUUUACUUGAAUUCUUCUAUAAGCAGUAGACCAGUUUUGCUUGAUGCUGCAUUGCUGAGACUAGGUAGGCUUAAUCGCCUCCGUUUAUGUGAUUUUCCAUCUCCGCGUGAAAGGUUGGAUAUUCUAACCUUUCUUUCAAGAAAGGUUAGUGAUAUUGUUUUUAUGCCUCAGUUUUCUACGCUCUCUUUUAUUUUUUUUUGUUUCAUCACAGAAAUCGGAGGUAUAAAACUCUUCUUCAAGUCUCUUUUAUUUUUUUUGAUUGUUUAUUUGUAUGGUUGAUUAUUUUUUGUUUGUGUUCAAUGGAUAUUUGUAUUGAUUCUGUAACUUCUGUGUGUAGGGGAACCUACCAGUCGUAUUGCAGGUCUCUUUUUGAGGAUCCUUUGCUAGAAUGCUUUGAGCUCGUUGAUGAUUUCAAUUUUCAAGGUUUGUGGAUUAUCUUUCUCUAUGUUUUAUAAUUUGACAUUGGUCAUGACUCGAAUGCAUUAAAUUGGCUUUGGAUAGGUUAUUUUGUAUGGUAUGAGUUAUUGAAUUACUUCAUUAAAGAACUCUAUAAGGGGAGGGUGUCAUAAUUUGAUAGAAAUGUGCUUCUUUAUUUCAUGUUGUUUUCUAUGUAUGUUAAGACAUUUGAUGUUGUUCAACUUGUUUUAGAGGAGUUUGGUCAAAGCAUCGGUGAAAUUUUUUAGAAUUUUGAUGUAAAUCCUCUUGGUUCUGCAUCAAUCGCACAAGUAUUACUUUUUCAUUUCUUUACCUGGCUUGAAGUUUUAUAUGAGCAUGCUGGGAAGGGUAUAGGUUUAUGUAUUUAAACAUAUAAAAUCUUUGAAGGCUAAACAUUUAUAUUAAAUAAGCUUCAUGCUUGCCAACAUACAAUAGGAUAUGACACAUUUGCUGUUUUAAUGCUACCAUAAAGUUUAACAGUUUUGUGGGCUUCUCGGGUUCCAAAAAUAGGAUAAUGCUUACAAGAACCGAGUGGAUAUACCUUAACAUAUGUUCGUAUCUGAAUUAGAUUUAUCAAGUAGGAUUGAGAAGUGAUAAGAUCGAUGUUGUUGUUAAGGUAAGUACCUUUGAAAAUGAUUUUAAAACCUCAUAUGUCUAUGUGAUUUUGACCAUUCAAGUUUAUGGCAGGUGCAACAUCCGGGAAUCCAGGAUCUUAUGAUAACUGACAUCUGUAACUUGCAAGCAUUUGCACUAUAUAUUCAGAAGAAUGAUAUCAAAAAUAGGUAUAUGUAUUCACACUGAUGUUCCUUGCAAAACACAUCUAUCCUUCUUUUAUGUAUUUUUCAGAUUAUGUAAAUUGAGAGUAUCGUUCCACUUGGAUUUGGAUUUCUUUUUUGUUCUGCAUGUCGUUAAUUAUUUAUCCUUUGUGCUAAUUAUUUAUCCUUUGUGUUGUCAAGAUCGGAUAUGAGUUUGACUUUCUAAGAGAAGCCAAUGCUAUGGAGAGAAUUUGCUAUUUCUUAUACGAGAAUAACAUAAAGAACUAUAAGUUUUUUAAUAACAUAAAAUGAGGAAUGGCUUUUGAGACAGGGAUUACGAAUCUCAGCUCCUUCUGUAUUUAUGUCGAGUUUUCUUCAUGUUUUUGAAUAACAUGAACUGAGUUUUUAAAUGACAUAAAAUCAAGGACUAUGGUUUUUGAAUAAUAAAGGACUAUGACUUUUGAUUUUUUAUUUCACAUAUGAAAAGAACUAAUGUUACUAAAAUUUAGUAAUUUUUAUGUAAAAUUUGAAGGUUUUUAUUUCACCAAAAGAUUGCUAUAAAUAAUUAAUUUGUUAAAGAGUAUACCUUAUAAUGAAUUGUUGUUAUCAUGUUAUUAUAAAGGAUAAAAUAAAAUAUUAAAAAAAUAUGUUUUCUAUUAAAAUUGACUAUUAAAAUAAAAUGUUAUUAGAGGAUUAUAAUAUCGUAUGUUAAACUCAUUUUUAUAUUGGCGACUGUGACCUAAGAGAACAGGUGAGAGGCUAGAUUAAAGCAAAUAUAUUAGGCAAUGAAAUAUUCUUAAUAAUAAUUUUAUAUUAAAAUUAUUAUUAAAUAUUAUUAAUAAUUAUAUUAAGAAUGUUAUUAAAUUAUAUAUUAUUUUAUUAAAUUGUAUUUAAUAAUAAUUAUGUUAAAAUAUGAUUAAAUUAUUUAUUUUUAUUUUUAUUAAAAUAUAUUUAACAAUAAUCAUAUUAAAAUUUAAUAACAAUAAUCAUCUACCUACAAAAAUUCUGUUAAGGGUACUUUGGUUAUUUAAGCCUUUUUCCUUAUACUAUUACAACAUCUAUUCCAUUCAACCAAACAUAAGAAUUCUAUUACAACUUUACUGCAUUCCAUUCAACCAAACAAUUGAAUUACUGAUUACAACUAUAUUCCAUUACAACUCUAUUUUUUUACAGCUCUAUUCAAUUACAAUUUAAUUCCAUUACAGUGAACCAAACGUACCGUUAGAGAUAUCAUGCAACGAAUUACAAUAGUUUUACAACUAAACAAAACUCGAAAAAUUGGAGAUAUCAUCUCAAUUUAACACACUAUAAUAAUAAAUAUAGAUAACUAAUCAAAAUCCAUUAAAGAUUUAGAGAUAAAAUAUUCAUACCUGAAACUACUAACCAAAUCCGAUCUCUUAUAAUAAACUCCUUAAAUGGAGCAAUAAUUGCCGUCAGCUUUAUCUUGUUUAUCUCUAUCCCCUCACUUUCUGUAUAUAAACGUCACAAGUUAGGAAGGAAUAAUCAUACAUGGUAUCUUCAAUUUUCACUAGCUACUUGACUUCUUUGCUUAAUUAUUAUUUGCAGAAAGAUGAGUUCAAUUAAAUCGCAUGCAGUAUGUCUUCCAUUCCCAGCACAAGGUCAUAUUAACCCCAUGAUGCAACUGGCCAAGCUCUUGCACUCUAGAGGCUUCUAUAUAACCUUUGUCAACUCCGAGUUCAAUCAUAGACGGUUGAUACGGUCUAGAGGGGAAGAAGCUGUUAAGGGCCUGCCUGAUUUCCGGUACGAAGCCAUACCCGAUGGGCUGCCACCUUCCGAUUCCGAUGCGGCUCAGUGCGUUCCAGCAAUAUGCGAUUCCACACGAAAAAAUUGUUUGACUCCAUUCUUGGAGCUACUAUCUAAGCUUAAUUCAUCACCCCAACUGCCCCCUGUUACUUGCAUAGUUUGUGAUGGAAUCAUGAACUGUGGUACCAAGGCAGCUCAACUCAUUGGGGUGCCUUAUGUUCAACUCUGGACUUCUUCAACCGUUAGCUUUCUGGGAUUUCUGCACUACAAAGAACUAGCUCAAAGAGGCAUUGUUCCAUUCAAAGGUUACAAAUUUUAUGUUUUCUUUGUGCUUUAUGUUCAUUCAUAAUAAUCACUUUGAGGUUCUAUGUGUUACACGCACGUCCAUGCAUAUUCUUUUGCAUAUUGAAACAAAGAUAUGCUUUUUAUUUUCCUUGUAGAUGAAGGCUUUGUUAGUGAUGGGACACUUGAGAUGCCCAUUGAUUGGAUCCCUGGUAUGCCUAACAUGCGCCUCAAGGACCUUCCAAGCCUCAUAAGAACCACCGACCCCGAAGACACCAUGUUUAAUUACGUCAUGGAAGUAUCACAAGAAUGCUUAAAUUCAUCUUCAAUAAUCUUCAACACAUUCGAUGAGUUCGAUAAAGAAGUGCUACAAGUAAUUGCUUCCAAGUCCCCUAAUAUUUAUGCAAUUGGUCCACUCACCUCCCUAAGUAGGAACCUACAUAACUCACUAAAUUCAAGCCUAUGGAAGGAGGAUACAAGUUGCAUCGAAUGGCUUAACACAAUGAAACCCAAGUCGGUGGUGUAUGUGAAUUAUGGGAGUGUAACAGUGAUGUCGAACCAUCAUUUGGAAGAAUUUGCUUGGGGACUUGCAAAUAGUAAAUACCCGUUUUUAUGGGUAGUUAGGCCUGACGUUGUGAUGGGAGAAUCGGCUGUUUUUCCAAGAGAAUUCAUGGAGGCAAUAAAAGGAAGGGGCCUCAUAACAAGCUGGUGUCCCCAACAACAAGUGUUGUCCCACCCAGCGGUUGGCGUUUUCUUGACACACUGCGGAUGGAAUUCUUUGUUGGAAGCUGUAUCCGAAGGUGUGCCUUUAAUUUGUUGGCCUUUUUUUGGUGAUCAACAAACGAAUUGUCGAUAUUCGUGCACCACAUGGGACAAUGGAAUGGAAAUCAACCCUGACGUAAAGCGUAAGGAUGUGGAGGCUCUUAUUAAAGAGAUAAUGGCAGGAGAUAAUGGGCAAAGGAUAAGACAAAAGGCAUUGGAAUGGAAGAAAAAAGCUAAAUCUGCCAUUAGCGUUGGAGGAUCUUCUAUUACCAACUUUGAUAGAAUGAUCAAGGAGGCCCUACGUCAAGGUUGAACAUUAAAAUCAGAAUACUGUUGUGUUGUAUGUUUUGUGUAUGUUUUUCUUAAUUUUAUAUUACAUUAUUAAAUAAAUGGGUUAGCAUUUGAUAAAUCAAUAUUAUACUUUUUUUAAUUCCACAAGUAAACUUAAAAAAAUUGUUAUGUAUUUGGUUUAUUUUAUAAAUUUAUUUUUUAAUAUUUUACUAUAGGUUAUAGGAUACUUAUCAUUACUCUAAACCUACUUCUAAAGUCCAACAACCCAAUUAACCCUGUACAAAAUAUCUCCUUAAAUAUAAAUACAAAAUAAAUUAUCAAAUGUCAAGAUGAAUCCAAAAAAAUUAAAUUUCUUAAAGUCUCAUGCCCAAAAUCUCAUUACCAAAUAUCAUAAUUUAAAUACAAGACAUUUCACCUUCUAUAACUAUUGUUAGGAAAAUCAAGGAAAUAUCUUGUCAGGUUCUAACAGUCAAGUUCCAAUUCGUGAAUAGGGAACGGAAUAAGGUUGCUAAUUGACUAGUCAAAUAAUGUCUUCCUAAUAUGUCAAUUUAUUUAUGUUGAUGUUCUUACACCUUAUGUGAGGAGACUAUUUUUAGAAGACAUAUUAGGUGAUUCUCAUGUAUAAAUAAUUUGAUUUAAAAUAUUGUAUUGCUUUCUCUUAUCUAUAAAAAGAAUAUAAGACAUUUAAUAAAUAUAUCAUUCUAUAUUAAACAUAUUAUAAUGUUUAUUGAAAAGUAUUAUUUUUUAAUAUAAUGUGCCAAAUUGUAGAUCAUAAUGGGAUUUCCUUUGUCGUUUCACCUGUUACUUUUAUUGCCUCACUUUUAUUUUUUAUUUGUCUUCUUUUUCUUUGUUUUUCUUUUGGGUCAAAGAAGAAACCAAACAUCAUAAAGUUCUCUGUAGAGAGAAAAACAGAUACAAAAAAAUAUAUAUAAUAAAUCUAUUGUAUUAUAUUAAAUGUAUUGAAUUUGUUGGGAAGGCGAUCUUAGCCCUUGGAGAGAGGUUUUAAAGUGUUAUUUAUCGGAUAAUUAACUGAAAUUUUAACAAUAGUAAAUAUUAUUUUUGUGCAGUAGUUUUGUUUUUUUCUCCUCCGAGACUCUUGAAAAAUACAAGAGUGAACACCUCAAAUUGGUAGAGAUACAACUUGUUUGUAGUUUGAGUCCUCCAACUCUCAAGUAUAUUUUAUAAUUAAUAUUACGCAUUGAUAAUUAUCCCGUGAGCAUUGCAAGUUGUAUUUUCACCAAAUGGGGUGUUCUCCUUUUAUAAACUCUUUAGGAUCUUUGAUAGAGGCGAAAGACGAAACCUUACUGAGAAUAUUACUAACCAUUAUUGAAAAUUUAACUAUAUAUGCCUAACAAGUGAUACUUGGAAUACUUUUUUCGAAAAAGUUAAAAAGGUUGUUCAACAAUAUUGAAUUUAAAGAUACUCUAUAAUAGGAUGAAAAAUAAUAGUUAUAAUGUUUUUAUCUAUAUUGUUUUUAUCCCUCAACAAAUUAUAUGUAUUUCACCACGUAGGGAGGUUUGAUAAUGGGUAGCUCAUGAACUUGCAAGGGUUGGAAUGGGUAUGGAAGGGACUCUCUGUUGAGCUCCAUUUUGCUUUUGGUAAUAGCAACACAUUGUUUGAUGUAACGUUUUACCAAUAUUAAUGAAUUUAUUUCUUUUAAUAGUAAUAAGGCUAAAUUACACUAGUAAUCACUUAAGUAAUAGUAAAUUUUUUGUCAUUCAAUUAUAAAAAGUUACAAAAUUAACAUGAUAACAACUUUAAUCCUCAACAUUUAUAAAUUAUGUCCAUUUAGUCUUUAUUUUAAAAAAAUUUAACCCUAAACAACACAUUGUGUAAUUUGAUCUCUUUUUUAUUAAUUUUUUGUAAUUUUGUGACAUUAAGGUUUAAUUUUAAAAUAAUAAGAUUGUUGUAACAAGUAUUACACACAUACAUAUAUUUCCAUCGAGGUUAUAACUUUUUAAUGAGUUUCUUAUUUGCUCGUUUAUGAAUUUAUGAACCUUUAUGUAUUAGCAUAAGUAAAUUUUAAGACAAAAAAAAAAAGGUAAAAAGACCGCUCCAGUCAUCAAUUUCAAUAUUGAGUAAAUUGGUCUCUUUAAAAAAAUUGAAGCAAUUUAAUCAUUGUGAAUUUCAAAAGUAAACAACUAAGGAUAAUUUAAAAUUUUUUAUUGCCAAUACGAGAAGGGAUUGUAUGAACUGUGAUUUCCUUAUAUUUAUCUAAUUGCAUAAUGAUAAAUUAGAUUUUUUCUCUUGAUUUUUAAUUUUUUUCUUCCUAAUAAAAAUCAAAUCCAAUUAAAAAUGCUAAAAAUCAAGAAAAAAAAUCUAAUUUAUAAUUCUCCUAUUGAAAAGAGAUAAAGAUGACAUGAAAUCACAAUUUUAUAUUAUCCUUCCUCUUGCCAAUGCAGUAACCUAUCAAAAUUCUUGAGAAGCAGCUGAUAUUUUCUCAGCCUCGUCCAUGACAAUUAUUUUACACCACAAUUGCCAACAGCGUUAUCCUGUUUUUCUUUAUCCCCUCCACAAGUUAGGAAGGAAUACUCAUAUAUAGUAUCUUCAAUUUUCACCGCCUACUUGACUUCAUUGCUUAGUUAAUAUUUGCAGAAAGAUGAGUUCAAUUAAAUCGCAUGCAGUAUGUCUUCCAUUCCCAGCACAAGGUCAUGUUAACCCCAUGAUGCAACUGGCCAAGCUCUUGCACUCUAGAGGCUUCCAUAUAACCUUUGUCAACACCGACUUCAAUCAUAGACGGUUGAUACGGUCUAGAGGGGAAGAAGCUGUUAAGGGUCUGCCUGAUUUCCGGUACGAAGCCAUACCCGAUGGGCUGCCACCUUCCGAUUCCGAUGCGACUCAGUGCGUUCCAGCAAUAUGCGAUUCCACACGAAAAAAUUGUUUGGCUCCAUUCUUGGAGCUACUAUCUAAGCUUAAUUCCUCACCCCAACUGCCCCCUGUUACUUGCAUAGUUUGUGAUGGAAUCAUGAACUGUGGUACCAAGGCAGCUCAACUCAUUGGGG